AUCCAAAUUAUCACUCUCCAAAAUAACUUGUGUGAAGCAGCAGUCCUUGGCUAGGCUUAUUCCAAGGUACGCUGCAUAGGCCUUAGCCAUACGGGCUUCCAAUGGAAAGGGGAUCUUCUAGGAUGCUGAUGCUAGAAUAGGACCCAAAUGGUCUCUUGCUAUUGCUCCAGCCCCUCCAUUACUCCGUUUGGUAGUUGCAGCAUCCGUAUUAAUUUUGAUCAGGUUUGUUGGUGGAGCUUCCAAAUUUUUCCUAAUUUGAACCAUAGGAUGUUGUUGCAAUUUUCUCUCUUCUUCUUUUACGUGCACUGCCCAAAAUUCCUCACAAGUUUUCACCGCAUUCUCGAUUUCCUUCCCUAUCAAUCUCUCUCUGCCUUCGAAGACCAGGAUGUUCCUUGCUCUUAAUAGUUGAUUCAGGUGAAUUGGGAUGCAAACCAGAAUCUUCUGGCAAAGUUGCAGUCUCUUAAAAGGUGACUCUCAGUUUUGUCCUCCGUUCAACAUCUGGUACAUCUAGGCGAGUCAUUGAUUCCUCUUCUGGUCAGACUGCUCUUCGUUGGGAGGGAAUUGUGCAUUACUCUCCAGAGGAAAUUAAUGAUCCUCAGCGGGGCUUUGAUUCUCCAUAUCUCUCUCCAGAGAGCAUGCGAGUGAGAGUGUAGGGAUGAAGUUGAAAGGAAGCAAAGAUGGAAAGCAGAAUGGGGAACAGAAUUUGGGAUUUGAAGAGCAUACCUUAAUUUGAUUGGUGAGGAUGAGAACAAUGACAACAUUCUUUUCUUGCAAUCAAUGGAGUAUCACAAAAGGGAAUGCGUUGAAUUGAAGAGUGCUUCCACCUGAGAGAGUCAGAGUAGUAUCAAGCUUAUUCGAUUUCUUUGAUUGUUGAUUUGUUUCUACUUGAAAAAUUUGCCAAAACUAAAGAUUUAGUAAUCUUUUUAUUAUCUUAAUCUCGGCCACGGAUUUUAGUAAUAAUAUUUCAAAUUGAACCCUCUGUUUUCGGUUCUUUAUAUACUUCAUAUUUUUUUUCAGAAAAACUAGUUAUUUUCUAUUUCAACGUUAAAGAAAACCCCUCAAAAAACAAAUGAUAACUGCUCUUUUUUCAAAAUUUUUGAUGUCGAUUUUUUUUUUUCUGAAAAAAGAAAACAAACAAACAAAUGGAACAAUGUUUUUCAUGAUAACUUCAAGAACGUUUCAAAUGAAUCAUUUGAUCUAUGGUAGAGCCAGCAUAAAGAUGAAAGUUAUCAAGCCAUCAACCUACAAGUUUAGCUCAGCUAACAAAUCAAAAUACUCCCCACUGGACAAUUCCUAUCAUAUAAAAUUACAAUGGAUGGCUGCCCUUUGUGGACGAAACUACUAUGCAGGUGGUCCAUGAUUACCCCCCUGGCUGAUGUGCAACCCUUCCUAGCUGGGGCUUGGGGAGAGCAAUUGUUCUGCCUCUUCUUUCCUUUGUUCCAUAUAUGCCAAAUUGCCAAUCAAUAGUAGUUCAAUCAAGCUUGGUUUUGUUACCCACCGAUAUUUAUACCUUGAAUCAAAAGCAAAAUUUAUUUACUCUAUAUAACAAGAAAAUCAGUUACCUUCUUUGUCA
Arachis ipaensis is the source of this 1573-nucleotide non-coding RNA. NCBI's taxonomy places the organism in Eukaryota, Viridiplantae, Streptophyta, Magnoliopsida, Fabales, Fabaceae. The record is from RefSeq and is a predicted model, not a curated record.